GACGAACGCUGGCGGCGUGCUUAACACAUGCAAGUCGUACGGUAAGGCCCUUUCGGGGGUCCACGAGUGGCGCACGGGUGAGUAACACGUGCGUAACCUGCCCACAACUUUGGGAUAACGCUAGGAAACUGGUGCUAAUACUGGAUAUGUGCUCCUGCUGCAUGGUUGGGGUUGGAAAGCUCCGGCGGUUGUGGAUGGACUCGCGGCCUAUCAGCUUGUUGGUGGGGUAGUGGCCUACCAAGGCGGCGACGGGUAGCCGGCCUGAGAGGGUGACCGGCCACAUUGGGACUGAGAUACGGCCCAGACUCCGACGGGAGGCAGCAGUGGGGAAUAUUGCACAAUGGGCGCAAGCCUGAUGCAGGAACGCCGCGGGCGGGAUGACGGCCUUCGGGUUGUAAACCGCUUUCAGCAGGGACGAAGCUGUUUGUGACGGUACCUGCAGAAGAAGCACCGGCUAACUACGUG
This 465-nucleotide ribosomal RNA is filed under the name uncultured bacterium. RNAcentral describes it as "partial 16S ribosomal RNA". It matches the Rfam family "Bacterial small subunit ribosomal RNA", at positions 28 to 507 of the family's 1533-position model. The record is from RNAcentral.